AUGGAUGUGAAGAGUGCAUUUCUCAACGGCAAGAUUGAAGAAGAAGUGUAUGUAGCUCAACCACCUGGCUUUGAAGAUCCAAAACAUCCUGAUAUGGUGUACAAGCUAAACAAAGCACUGUAUGGCCUCAAACAAGCUCCUCGCGCAUGGUAUGAUACGAUCAAAGACUUCCUGAAGAGCAAAGGCUUCAAACCAGGAUCCCUCGAUCCCACACUCUUCACAAAGACAUAUGAUGGUGAACUGUUUGUGUGCCAAAUAUAUGUGGAUGACGUAAUCUUCGGCUGCACCAACCAGAAGUAUAGUGAUGAGUUUGGGUACAUGAUGCAAGAGCAAUAUUAG
RNAcentral lists this ribosomal RNA (339 nucleotides) under Triticum aestivum (bread wheat). Its description in RNAcentral is "partial small subunit ribosomal RNA". The record is from RNAcentral. Lineage: Eukaryota; Viridiplantae; Streptophyta; Magnoliopsida; Poales; Poaceae.